Molecule: ribosomal RNA, 540 nt
Filed under: Cryptosporidium parvum
Lineage: Eukaryota; Apicomplexa; Conoidasida; Eucoccidiorida; Cryptosporidiidae
Description: SSU rRNA
Rfam family: Eukaryotic small subunit ribosomal RNA
Source: RNAcentral
GCCUACCGUGGCAAUGACGGGUAACGGGGAAUUAGGGUUCGAUUCCGGAGAGGGAGCCUGAGAAACGGCUACCACAUCUAAGGAAGGCAGCAGGCGCGCAAAUUACCCAAUCCUAAUACAGGGAGGUAGUGACAAGAAAUAACAAUACAGGACUUUUUGGUUUUGUAAUUGGAAUGAGUUAAGUAUAAACCCCUUUACAAGUAUCAAUUGGAGGGCAAGUCUGGUGCCAGCAGCCGCGGUAAUUCCAGCUCCAAUAGCGUAUAUUAAAGUUGUUGCAGUUAAAAAGCUCGUAGUUGGAUUUCUGUUAAUAAUUUAUAUAAAAUAUUUUGAUGAAUAUUUAUAUAAUAUUAACAUAAUUCAUAUUACUAUAUAUUUUAGUAUAUGAAAUUUUACUUUGAGAAAAUUAGAGUGCUUAAAGCAGGCAUAUGCCUUGAAUACUCCAGCAUGGAAUAAUAUUAAAGAUUUUUAUCUUUCUUAUUGGUUCUAAGAUAAGAAUAAUGAUUAAUAGGGACAGUUGGGGGCAUUUGUAUUUAACAGUCA